Molecule: ribosomal RNA, 446 nt
Filed under: uncultured bacterium
Lineage: Bacteria
Description: bacterial SSU rRNA
Rfam family: Bacterial small subunit ribosomal RNA
Source: RNAcentral
CCCAGACUCCUACGGGAGGCAGCAGUGGGGAAUAUUGCACAAUGGGGGAAACCCUGAUGCAGCGACGCCGCGUGAGUGAAGAAGUAUUUCGGUAUGUAAAGCUCUAUCAGCAGGGAAGAAAAUGACGGUACCUGACUAAGAAGCCCCGGCUAACUACGUGCCAGCAGCCGCGGUAAUACGUAGGGGGCAAGCGUUAUCCGGAUUUACUGGGUGUAAAGGGAGCGUAGACGGCCAGACAAGUCAGAAGUGAAAGGCCCGGGCCCAACCCUGGGACUGCUUUUGAAACUGGCGGGCUGGAGUGCAGGAGAGGUAAGCGGAAUUCCUAGUGUAGCGGUGAAAUGCGUAGAUAUUAGGAGGAACACCAGUGGCGAAGGCGGCUUACUGGACGGUAACUGACGUUGAGGCUCGAAAGCGUGGGGAGCAAACAGGAUUAGAUACCCUUGUAA